Long non-coding RNA from Solanum pennellii, 429 nucleotides. RefSeq lists it as uncharacterized. The record is from RefSeq and is a predicted model, not a curated record. Lineage: Eukaryota; Viridiplantae; Streptophyta; Magnoliopsida; Solanales; Solanaceae. The transcript has 2 exons.
UUUCCAUUCGCAUGUGUUCUACACUUCUCCUUGAACAAACGUGUACUGCUGCUAAGAGCCCAAAAACGGAGAGUAGUCAAAAUCUUCUUCAAUUGCUCUAUUUCUUAAUUGAAUUUUGAUGGAGAAAAUUACCCCUCAUUUGACCACAUUUUUUACGUUAAUGUUUUUUUUGGGUUUGCAGAUAGUACUUUUAUGAUACACAUUGGAAAAUGUCAGGUGUACUAUAUGAUCAUAGUUUGAGAUAAAAUAAUAGUGGGCAGUUGCUGCACAAGGCAUAGACCAUGUUCUGUUUAAAGCUCCCUAAAUUUUAUUCAACCUAAGUAAACAUAAAAAUUAAUAGUGGGCAGUUGCUGCAUAAGGCAUAGCCCAUGUUCUGUUUAAAUCUCCCUAAAUUUUAUUCAAUCUAAAUAAACAUAUGGUUGUCAUUUA